GGUCAACAUAGGAAUAUUUGCACAAGAAUAGACAUUAUCUCUCGAUUCUACAUUUUUCUCAUACAGAAUACAUGGCCGGUCUGCUUCAUUAAAUUAAUAUGUAGUUUUUAGAUCAUAGUAAUUAAACUGCAUUAUAUUUUUUAGAUCAAGAAGUGUUCUCUUAAAAGGGAGAGGUAUUGUCAGUGGCAAAUUUGAGGAAUCUGAUGCAUUGGUGGAAUACUGCAUGUGGUCAUGAAAUUAUAGCUGCAAUCCUCAAGGUCUGAAAAUUGGAGGUUUUUGUACCAACCUUUGCUAAUCAGCAGGAAUCAAAAGACGUGCUUAAGUAACACUACUAGUUUUGUAAAGAAAACGAAAUACUAGACUGGCAUAUACUAGAUUUGUUGAAAUAGUUGAACUGAGGCAAUGAUAGUUAUUCAGGCAUUGGGGCCGGCCGGGGGGGGGGGGAUGUAUAAAAAUGUACUUGUUUUUAAAAUGUAAAUUUAUAUUUGACUCAUAAUUUUCUCAGAACCAAUCCAAUAUCCAUCACUACAUUAAACAUAUUUUCAGAGGUCAAGUAACUACCAAUGAUUUGAGCUCUAGGUUUGGAAAUAGAAAUCACAAAAUGUUUAUGAAAAAUUUAUAUA
RNAcentral lists this long non-coding RNA (623 nucleotides) under Paramuricea clavata. The record is from RNAcentral. Lineage: Eukaryota; Metazoa; Cnidaria; Anthozoa; Malacalcyonacea; Plexauridae.